GGAGAGAGAGGAUCUGGCUGCAACAUCUGCACCACCGAUCGCUAGGGUGAUUUGUCUGAUCGGCUGUUUGGUGGUGUCCCCUCCUCCCUCAUCGCUCCAUGUGCGCCCCUCCAGGCGCUGCGGAUGACCUUCCCCAUCAGAGGAGGGCCGUUCUUUGGUCAAGGGUAUAUGAGUAGCUGUACUCCUCUGCUAGAACCUCCAAACAAGCUCUCUCAAAGUAAUUAUUUCAAAGGAGGGAUUGAGAGUUUCAUCCUCUAUGACAAAGUUAAUUUUUCCUAAAAAAUUUUAAUAAUAAAUGUUGUCCUUA
This 307-nucleotide small nuclear RNA is filed under the name Aotus nancymaae (Ma's night monkey). RNAcentral's name for it is "7SK RNA (ENSANAG00000004253.1)". It matches the Rfam family "7SK RNA". Rfam says of the family: 7SK was discovered as an abundant small nuclear RNA in the mid-70s but a possible function has only recently been suggested. The record is from Rfam by way of RNAcentral. Lineage: Eukaryota; Metazoa; Chordata; Mammalia; Primates; Aotidae.